UACGUAGGGGGCGAGCGUUGUCCGGAAUCAUUGGGCGUAAAGAGCUCGUAGGCGGUUCAGCAAGUCGGCUGUGAAAUUCCGAGGCUCAACCUCGGAACUGCAGUCGAUACUGCUGUGACUCGAGUCCGGUAAAGGAGAAUGGAAUUCCCGGUGUAGCGGUGAAAUGCGCAGAUAUCGGGAGGAACACCAGUAGCGAAGGCGGUUCUCUGGGCCGGUACUGACGCUGAGGAGCGAAAGCGUGGGGAGCAAACAGG
RNAcentral lists this ribosomal RNA (254 nucleotides) under uncultured bacterium. Its description in RNAcentral is "partial 16S ribosomal RNA". It matches the Rfam family "Bacterial small subunit ribosomal RNA", at positions 524 to 776 of the family's 1533-position model. The record is from RNAcentral.